UUCCGGUUGAUCCUGCCGGACCUGACUGCUAUCGGAUUGAUACUAAGCCAUGCGAGUCAUUGUAGCAAUACAAGGCAGACGGCUCAGUAACGCGUAGUCAACCUAACCUAUGGACGGGAAUAACCUUGGGAAACUGAGAAUAAUGCCCGAUAGAACACUAUACCUGGAAUGGUCUGUGUUCCAAAUGAUUUAUCGCCGUAGGAUGGGACUGCGGCCUAUCAGUUUGUUGGUGAGGUAAUGGCCCACCAAGACUAUUACAGGUACGGGCUCUGAGAGGAGUAGCCCGGAGAUGGGUACUGAGACACGGACCCAGGCCCUAUGGGGCGCAGCAGGCGAGAAAACUUUGCAAUGUGCGAAAGCACGACAAGGUUAAUCCGAGUGGUUUGUGCUAAACGAACCUUUUGUCGGUCCUAGAAACACCGAUGAAUAAGGGGUGGGCAAGUUCUGGUGUCAGCCGCCGCGGUAAAACCAGCACCUCAAGUGGUCAGGAUGAUUAUUGGGCCUAAAGCAUCCGUAGCCGGCUCUGUAAGUUUUCGGUUAAAUCUGUACGCUCAACGUACAGGCUGCCGGGAAUACUGCAGAGCUAGGGAGUGGGAGGGGUAGACGGUACUCGGUAGGAAGGGGUAAAAUCCUUUGAUCUAUUGAUGACCACCUGUGGCGAAGGCGGUCUACCAGAACACGUCCGACGGUGAGGGAUGAAAGCUGGGGGAGCAAACCGGAUUAGAUACCCGGGUAGUCCCAGCUGUAAACGAUGCAGGCUAGGUGUUGGGGCGGCCACGCGCCGCCUCAGUGCCACAGGGAAGCCAUUAAGCCUGCCGCCUGGGGAGUACGGCCGCAAGGCUGAAACUUAAAGGAAUUGGCGGGGGAGCACCACAAGGGGUGAAGCUUGCGGUUCAAUUGGAUUCAACGCCGGA
This 914-nucleotide ribosomal RNA is filed under the name uncultured archaeon. RNAcentral's name for it is "bacterial SSU rRNA". It matches the Rfam family "Archaeal small subunit ribosomal RNA", at positions 1 to 922 of the family's 1478-position model. The record is from RNAcentral.